AUUGAACGCUGGCGGCAGGCCUAACACAUGCAAGUCGAGCGGAGCGGCGGACGGGUGAUUAAUGCCUAGGUAUCUGCCUGGUAGUGCGGGAUACCGUCCGCAAACGGGCGCUAAUACCGCAUACUAUCACAUGACCCUCGUUCCGCGUAUCUAGUUGGUGGGGUAAAGGCCUACCAAGGCGACGAUCCGUAACUGGUCUGAGAUGAUGAUCAGUCACACUGGAACUUAGACACGGUCCAGACUCCUACGGGAGGCAGCAGUGGGGAAGAUUGGACAAUGGGCGAAAGCCUGAUCCAGCCAUGCCGCGUGUGUGAAGAAGGUCUUCGGAUUGUAAAGCACUUUAAGUUGGGAGGCGUGACCAAAAGAAUAAGCACCGGCUAACUUCGUGCCAGCAGCCGCGGUAAUAG
This 407-nucleotide ribosomal RNA is filed under the name uncultured bacterium. RNAcentral describes it as "partial 16S ribosomal RNA". It matches the Rfam family "Bacterial small subunit ribosomal RNA", at positions 30 to 526 of the family's 1533-position model. The record is from RNAcentral.